Non-coding RNA from Paramuricea clavata, 495 nucleotides. The record is from the annotation of a GenBank genome assembly. Lineage: Eukaryota; Metazoa; Cnidaria; Anthozoa; Malacalcyonacea; Plexauridae.
AAAUGAUCCUUUUGGCUUAGAAUUAAACGGACUACUUUGAAAAGACCAAUGAAAAGAUCUUUUUGGCUUAAAAAUGUUGCGCCCAUAGGUGACACCCAUCCCACAUUCAUCGCAGUUAUGAUGCCACCCUCCCUAACCUCAGGGACUCCAUUAAUAGUCGAUGGACGGCUUUGACUAGCUGCAUGGGAGGACAAUGCACCGAGCCCAAACUCAUAACGCGCGCUAGCACGCGUAUUGAUGCCACCUUUUACUAUCACUAGCCACACCACAUUACUAGCAUUUCCUAUAUUUGUAUUUAUGUACGCAAGUGUAGGCGAAUACAAGGAUUAUGGGACGCAAUCAAGACCCUAACUUGUUUGUGCGCAUGACUAAAUUAUGUUGCAUUGAAUGACUGGAAACGCUUAUUUGAAACCAUUUCCAAAAUCUCGAGCGGGAUUUGAACUCGCAUCUUCGGUCUAGAUGCCCGAAGUUUGACGGGGAAGUAUUCUGUGAUAC